GACAGAGGGUGCAAACGUUGCUCGGAAUCACUGGGCGUAAAGGGCGUGUAGGCGGGUAGAUAAGUCGGGCGUGAAAGCUUCCGGCUUAACUGGAAAAUUGCAUCGGAAACUGCUCAGCUUGAAGGUGGGAGAGGGUAGCGGAAUUCCCGGUGUAGUGGUGAAAUGCGUAGAUAUCGGGAGGAACACCAGUGGCGAAGGCGGCUACCUGGCCCACUCUUGACGCUGAGGCGCGAAAGCUAGGGGAGCAAACGGG
Molecule: ribosomal RNA, 253 nt
Filed under: uncultured bacterium
Lineage: Bacteria
Description: partial 16S ribosomal RNA
Rfam family: Bacterial small subunit ribosomal RNA
Source: RNAcentral